This 77-nucleotide transfer RNA is filed under the name Acetivibrio thermocellus. RNAcentral describes it as "tRNA-Val". It matches the Rfam family "tRNA". From Rfam's summary of the family: Transfer RNA (tRNA) molecules are approximately 80 nucleotides in length. Their secondary structure includes four short double-helical elements and three loops (D, anti-codon, and T loops). RNAcentral also lists the same sequence under 1 other name. The record is from RNAcentral. Lineage: Bacteria; Bacillati; Bacillota; Clostridia; Acetivibrionales; Acetivibrionaceae.
GGGCGAUUAGCUCAGCUGGUUAGAGUACCACGUUGACAUCGUGGGGGGCGAUGGUUCGAGUCCAUUAUCGCCCACCA